UAGGUCUACGACGGAGUGAAAAGAAACUCUAGAAACUGUAACAAAAUUGUUCUGAAGUAGCUGAAUUUUAUAUGAAACAAAGAACAAUUUCUUUUAGUGAUAUAUAGCCCAUGAAUCAAUAAUAUGCUUGAGUAAUUAUUAUAACCGCACUCCUAUCAUAGUAAAACUUAGUGCGCGUUAAAAAUAGUGCGAUGUAGCCGCUAUUAUUAGAAUAAGUCCCACGCGUUAGUGACUCAUCUUUUGACCACAUUACCCAAACAGAAUUUAAAACGACCGCAUGAUAUUCAUGACGACCUUUUUGUUGAUUCGUUCUUUAAUUACUUGCAGGGAUUCCUUUUUAUUUUUAUUUUUUUUGCCUACAAUUUAAAUUAAUGUUUGUAAAGUAUAAAGACAACUUGCAGUCUCUGUAUUUUUAUAUGUUAUUAUGUACUGUCAUUAUGUUUAAUCCCCAUAUUGUAUAAUUACUUGGGUGAAAUAAAGAUCAUGUUCUGUUCUGUUCUGUAAUUCCCUCUGCUCUACACUUAGUCGGCCCUUAUUUCAUUUUAACAGUUUGUAAACAUGUGGAAAUAAUUGCUGUUCUUUAUUAGGGCAAAAGCCUCUAAGCGUUAUCAUGUCUGUGCGUCAACGCUCUAAGGAGGAUAAUUCUUUUCUUGUGAAAUACUCCGAAGACGGCGAAUAUCAGGUCCGUUCACGUGGACAUUUCAAAACAUUUCAAAACAUCUGACAAGUUGACUGUGGGUCAGUGUUACAAUGGGGACGGGCAACGCAGAUUGCCGAGGCAGAGGUUAUCAACUCUGGCUCGGAAGCUGCAAUGCAAAAAGCCAAACUGAAUGCAAUUUCAGCUCCUCUACGCAAACCGACAGUACCAGGUGCAAAGCGUUCAAGACAAAAUACAGAAAAGAUUUAGGCCGGGAAGAAAAUGGCUACUUUUCUUAAUGUUGGUUCUCCGCCAUCCUACGAUACUCCACCCGCUUCUGCGCAACAAAGUAUUGAUGUAUCGUCAUCAGUCACCACAGAAACGACAGACACCAGCCAGAUACCAACUUCUGCAACAUCAAACCAGAACCUCCUCUAACAAGCCGGAUUAUAACGAACAAUCUAUUUAAGGACCAGCCACGCCUUCCACACACACGGUACCAGAAAAUGGUAAAACACCAGUCACUGAAACAGAAACAUCGAGAUCGGCUUCUCUGACACGUACUCCAUUUAGACCAGUCCGUCCGGUGCAGCCUUCUCCGCAAAUGAAUCAAACUUUGACUUUGUUGAAUGUGCUUACAGAUCAAGUGCGAGACCUAUCAAAGGAAGUAAUUGAGAGUAAAAAGGGACAGGCCGCGUACAAUAAAAGAUUAACAGACAUUGAAGCUACUCAGGCAGUGAUUAUGAGUAAACUUGAUGUUUUGAUUAAUUAAAAGCAACUCCAGUCUUCACCUGUAGAGAACUGUGCCUCGCAUGAUACCGAGGAAGCUCCUGAUAUUGAUGAACAGUAUGUGUUAAGUGAGUCGCUGUUAAGAACUCUAAGACAUGAAGCAAACAACGCGCAGCAUUUCGCAUGUUUACUCUUUCCGCAUGUUUUUCCAGAGCUGUUCAGUGUAGACAAAUUACGUGUAUUCUAUAACUGGAGUGGGAAUGCUCACGGGAAGCAAGAGUUGGAUCCAGGCAGAAAAGCUGUAGUAAAGAAAUAUACAAACCUUUACUAUCCAGAAACGAAAAAUCCUACAUGUUGGGUCCAGAUUGUUACACGUGUAAAUGAACGUCUUAGAAGAAAGGACAAACUACCGAAAGUUCAACGCCAAACUGAAAAUGAAGGAGCUCAAGAUUUCCAAACUCUUGAGAACAUUUGCCCCCUGUCUGACUUGGGUGUCAGUUUCACCCGGCACUUGAACUCUGUGUGAAAUACAAUGCCCUUUUAAAAGAGAAAACUAUAACCAGCUCAUCAAAUGUUGCAUUUACCAACAGAUUGUAGGUUAAGUAGUAAGAAGUCUUCGGCAUGUGUCACGCAAUUUGACAUUCUUAGAUAAACUGAAGUAAUACUGUUUUAGUAUGUUUACUGUACAAGUAUUUUAUCAUGAAUAUUACAAUUGAAUAAAAGUAAUUAUAUACAUGAAAACGUUUUGAUUGUG
Long non-coding RNA from Mercenaria mercenaria, 2120 nucleotides. RefSeq lists it as uncharacterized. NCBI's taxonomy places the organism in Eukaryota, Metazoa, Mollusca, Bivalvia, Venerida, Veneridae. The transcript is spliced from 3 exons. The record is from RefSeq and is a predicted model, not a curated record.